CGGGAAUUUUGGGCAAUGGGCGAAAGCCUGACCCAGCAACGCCGCGUGAGGGAUGAAGUAUUUCGGUAUGUAAACCUCGAAAGAAUGGGAAGAAUAAAUGACGGUACCAUUUAUAAGCUCCGGCUAACUACGUGCCAGCAGCCGCGGUAAUACGUAGGGAGCAAGCGUUGUUCGGAAUUACUGGGCGUAAAGGGCGCGCAGGCGGUCUUGCAAGUCAGAUGUGAAAGCCCCGGGCUUAACCUGGGAAUUGCGUUUGAAACUACAAGGCUAGAGUGCAGCAGAGGGGAGUGGAAUUCCAUGUGUAGCAGUGAAAUGCGUAGAGAUGUGGAAGAACACCUAUGGCGAAGGCAGCUCCCUGGGUUGACACUGACGCUCAUGCACGAAAGCGUGGGGAGCAAACA
This 401-nucleotide ribosomal RNA is filed under the name uncultured bacterium. RNAcentral's name for it is "bacterial SSU rRNA". It matches the Rfam family "Bacterial small subunit ribosomal RNA", at positions 356 to 774 of the family's 1533-position model. The record is from RNAcentral.